Molecule: long non-coding RNA, 929 nt
Organism: Dama dama (fallow deer)
Lineage: Eukaryota; Metazoa; Chordata; Mammalia; Artiodactyla; Cervidae
Exons: 3
Source: RefSeq, a predicted model, not a curated record
AUGUUUGCGUAAAGAGGCUGCAGCACCCCCCCGUGGGCCUCUGGCCCUUGGCCCUCAGGCGAGGGGCGUCUGACUUCUCCAGAAGGGCGUCCUCGCGCCCUCCUGAGGGAGACCCUGCAGCUCUGUGGUUGAGGAAGCUCAGAAACGGGGUUUCUGGCCCCUUGGCCAUAGGCUCCAGUACCCUCAAGGAAGCACGGGUUGCUGAGAGAAAAGCAGGGCCGGCCGCCACUUUAAGCGCCGAAAACAUUCCAGUCAGGACCGUUGUCUUAGGGCGCAAGAGACCUCAGUGUGGGACCCUCCGGGUUCAUCCCAAAUGCCUGUUGACUGGAAAAAAACACACGACCUAAAAGUCGGAGAAAACUUGUCCAAAAGUUGGACAAAACUGAGGACUUAAGCCCAGGACGCAGCAUCUCAGAUAACUGACGGACUGCCCCGAAGAGCCUCCUGACUGCAGGCCCCCAGGGGGCCGAAACCUGGACCAUCAGGACUUCAGGUAUCGCAGUCUUGGAACAGAAACAAAACCCUGGGACUACCUGAAAUUCUAAUUUUUCCUGAGGGAAACAAACACCGUUAAGACCAGGCGCAGUUUAUGAGGGUCCAGGGCAUGUUUCUCUUGAAAUGGCGUAAAUCUGCUUCCCAGACAGCAUGCAAAGACCCGUUUCCGAGACGCCUGCCACCCAGGCCAGGCGUGGAAGCAGCACUUUCCCGUGGAGGCUGGUGCUGUCUCUCCGGUCAGCUGCCCUCUCCAUGGCCCAGCGGUGCCCCCAGCUUUGGAGCUUUAUGUCAGCAGGAGUAUUUUUAUUUAACGUCACAUGGUAAACACAAAGAAAAUCCUCUGUUUUCUGACCUAAUUUCAGCAGGGCAUAGAAUUAAGUUUAGCUUGUCACCUUGUUUUCUGCCGAACUUAGUCAGGUUUCAGUAUUUUUGUU